UAGGGAAUCUUCGGCAAUGGGGGGAACCCUGACCGAGCAACGCCUCGUGAGUGAAUAAGGUUUUCGGAUCGUAAAGCUCUGUUGUUAAGGAAGAACGAGUGUGAGAAUGGAAAGUUCAUGCUGUGACGGUACUUAACCAGAAAGGGACGGCUAACUACGUGCCAGCAGCCGCGGUAAUUCGUAGGUCCCGAGCGUUGUCCGGAUUUAUUGGGCGUAAAGCGAGCGCAGGCGGUUAGAAAAGUCUGAAGUGAAAGGCAGUGGCUCAACCAUUGUAGGCUUUGAAGACUGUUUAGCUUGAGUGCAGAAGGGGAGGGAGGAAUUCCAUGUGUAGCGGUGAAAUGCGUAGAGAUAUGGAGGAACACCGGUGACGAAAGCGGCGCGCUGGACUGUAACUGACGCUGAGGCACGAAAGCGUGGGGAGCGAACAGG
Molecule: ribosomal RNA, 429 nt
Filed under: Bacteroidota bacterium
Lineage: Bacteria; Pseudomonadati; Bacteroidota
Description: Bacteroidetes bacterium partial 16S ribosomal RNA
Rfam family: Bacterial small subunit ribosomal RNA
Source: RNAcentral